Lactuca sativa (garden lettuce) is the source of this 683-nucleotide long non-coding RNA. RefSeq lists it as uncharacterized. NCBI's taxonomy places the organism in Eukaryota, Viridiplantae, Streptophyta, Magnoliopsida, Asterales, Asteraceae. The record is from RefSeq and is a predicted model, not a curated record.
UGAAUUUAUUAGUCUUUAGGAGCAUGAGUAUGCAAACGCCGAUGCAAUUAAAAAAACAUUGCCUAUCAAAUUUUCAUAUCCAGCCACCAAUUUCCGUUAUCCCGCUACAAAUUUUUAUUAUCCCGCCAUUUGACCAGGUAUAUGAUUUCAAUUCGAAGCUACUCUGUGAAUGCGAGCACUCUAGAGAGUUAAAACCAUUGAUCGAAAACCCUAAUACCCUAAAACGACGAGAAUUCGACGCUUUAUCGCCGCUAUUUUCACUAGUGCCACAACAAUCGAUGCUCUUGAGCAUAUGGUGAAAGAACCCGGACCAGUGUAGCAUCCAACUUCCAGUUUCUGUGGUGUGUUUUCUAUUAUGCUCUACAUUUAUUAGUGGAUAUUUUGGACAAUGCUCUUAAUAAACAGGUGUUGAUAAGCAUGAUGGGAAUUUAUCAACAAGAAGCAUACGAGUCUUCAGUUGCAUAUCUAGUUUGAUUGGCUUGUAUACAUUGAGGUGUUUCAAGUGAGCAACAUGUAAAAAUUGAUGCUUUUAGGACGUGGGCUUUGGCUAUGAGAUUGGUGUCAACAUCUUUUAAGUAGGUUUCAUAUGUGAACAUCUCGUUAAGGUUGGAUCCUACUUUUAGUGGUGAUGUAAAUAUGCAGAAACUGAUUGGAAUUUAAUAAAAAGAGUUCUUUGUUUUGUA